This 2173-nucleotide long non-coding RNA is filed under the name Manihot esculenta (cassava). RNAcentral describes it as "long non-coding RNA (MESC_LNC012613)". Lineage: Eukaryota; Viridiplantae; Streptophyta; Magnoliopsida; Malpighiales; Euphorbiaceae. The record is from RNAcentral.
UCAUAGUCAUGCAUUAAGGAUCAAUAAUGGAGCUUGUUAGUGUUAGAGUCACUACAAAAUGCUUAUUUAUCAAUUAUCAAUAUCACAGUGAAAUCAAGUCAACAUAUUUGAAGAGAAAUGAAUUGGACUUUUGCAUAGAAAUAUGACACUUGUUAAAAUGAUUUGAUUGCAUGAAAUAGAAAAUGAUCAAUGAAUUGAUUUUGACCUAAAAAAUUUAACAAAUUCCCUCAUUGUUUUAUGGGCAUUUAUAGGUAUCAAGGUAUGCAUCUAUAUGAAAGCUUAGAUGUCAUUUUCUCCACAAAAAAUGGAGAUACACUGGAUUUGUGGCUCAAAAUUCUAUAGGUAAGAUAGUGUCUUUGUAAUCCAGUAUCUAUUCAAUAUCAGCCAGCCUUCCUCUGAACCCCGUUUCAAUCUUAUCUUCCGGCCCCGUCUGGAACCAGGAAGGAGAUCAACCCAUCUGUCUUGUGGCUCCAUUCGCAUGCGCGCCCGGGGAGAGUCAGAGGCCGUUACGCAUGGGGCAGGGAUCAUAUAUUCUCGUACGUCCGUAUCAACAUGGUAGGGACAGGUGGCCCAAUGAUAGACAGUUUGUUAUACGUCACUAUCAGUUAAAAGAAAAUAGAUAAAAGGAGGAUUGCCCUCCUCUAGGUGUAAGUUUUUUCCAAGUCCACAGAACCCUUGUAAAAUCUUAUUUUCUGGAUCUCAAAUCAUGGGAAGGCAAGUGGUGGAACCAGGAUCUCAAAUCAUGGGAAGGCAAGUGGUGGAACCAGGAUCUCAAAUCAUGGGAAGGCAAGUGGUGGAACCAGGAUCUCAAAUCAUGGGAAGGCAAGUGGAGGCAAGUGGUGGAACCUAAAUGGAUAGUCACAGUGGUGGAGGAGGAGAUGUGGUCAUGAGUUAUGGACAACUUUCUUCACAAUCUAAAUGUGGAGGCUAUAUCCUGUACCUAAUCAAUAAUCAAGUGGUGACAAGAUUGUGGGACCUAUCUGAAUAUUAUCCAAUGCAUGGUAAGAAGAAAGUGGCCUCUGACUCACUCUCCUCUUCUUUGACUUGAUGUCUUCUUGCCCUUCAUUUUCUUUAAUCCUUUUUGUCCUCGUUUUCUUAUGGCAUAACCAAAAUUGUUUUUAUAAAUUUAUUUGUUUUUCUUUACAAGAUUAGUAUGAAUUACUCGGACAUCAAUAGUUCAACAACAAAGAUUAGUAUGAAUUACUCGAACAUAAAUAGUUCAACAACAAAGCCACAAAGGUCUUAGUUACUAAGAUAUUUUCUUGAAUUUUCAAUAGGAUUACACAUUCUGAAACUCCAUUAUGCAGACAAAUUAGAAGUAUUGCCUACAAAAUGUGAUAAUUUUUCUUGUUUCUUCCUUCUUUCUCUCACUCUCCAUGCCAUUGCUUUAUAAUUUGAGCGGCUUGUUUUUGUAGUACCUUACUUUUGAGCUCUGACCCAUCUGUCUAAAACUCGCGGUAAUCAUGAUGCAUAACAAUAAAGAUUUUCAUUCUCGAAUUCUUAUUAUUAUUUUUUAUUCAUUUCGUUAACCGCCUUUUAAUGACUAGUUAAAAAGAAUCAAAUAUGAAAACCUAAAUAUUAUAUUAUUCAAAAUACGACAACUAAACUAAUCAUUUUAAUUCAUGUCCUUCAAUGGUGGAAAAUUCUGAAUGGGUUCAACGAUAAGGCCAACAAUAUUCAAUGAAAAAGAAUAGAACCAGGCAGCUAGGAAGCACAUAAAACAAAGUCGACACUCUGAUUUUUUAACAUCCCCUGUACCAUCUCGCAGUAUAUCCUCAGCUCAUCUUCUAUGAAACUACAGAUGUGACGUCCCCAAAAAUGUGAUUGUGAAAGGAGUAGCCCGCAACAUCAAAAUCAUUAUUAUCUAGAACUACGCAAGAUCCACUUAUAAUCUUUCUGUUCGAAAUUCUCACAUGUUUGAGAGAAGUUAUUUUUCAUUUGAUAAAGAGGAAGGAAAUGAAAUAUUUGUCAUUGCAUUGUGAAUCCCUCCCCUCAUCCUCCUUCCUCUCUGAUUAACCAAUAUGCAGCUCUAUUACUUACCAUGUCCUUUGUUACUGGCCUUUUCAGCCUCCGAACCUCAACCCCAAACGAGGCUCAGGAAUACUUUCAUUAGAGGAGUGAAAAGAGAGAAUAAUAGGGAAAGGUAUGCAAGGACUAGAUAUAACUUUCCCUU